Molecule: ribosomal RNA, 1382 nt
Filed under: metagenome
Description: SSU rRNA
Rfam family: Eukaryotic small subunit ribosomal RNA
Source: RNAcentral
UUGAAGAAUUAGGGUUCGAUUUCGGAGAGGGAGCAUGAGAAACGGCUACCACAUCUAAGGAAGGCAGCAGGCGCGUAAAUUACCCAAUCCUGACUCAGGGAGGUAGUGACAAGAAAUAGCAAACCGGGAACCUCAUGGUUUCACGGUAUUGCAAUGAGGACAAUUUAAAACCCUUAGCGAGAAUCAAGUGGAGGACAAGUCUGGUGCCAGCACCCGCGGUAAUUCCAGCUCCACUAGCGUAUAUUAAAGUUGUUGCAGUUAAAAAGCUCGUAGUUGAACCUCUGUCUGGGGCUAGUUUUGGCUUUGGUCAGGCUAGUUCUAGGCAUCCGCCUACAAGACUUAGAGGGCAUUCAGUUGUUCACUAGGAGGAGUAGGCAUUUUACUUUGAAAAAAUUAGAGUGUUUAAGGCAGGCAAUCGCCCGCAUAUAUUAGCAUGGAAUAAUAGAAUAGGACACUUUUCCAUUUCGUUGGUUAUUGGAAUCGUGUAAUGAUUAAUAGGGACAGUUGUGGGCAUUUGUAUUUAAUUGUCAGAGGUGAAAUUCUUGGAUUUAUUAAAGACAAACUAACGCGAAAGCAUUUGCCAAGGAUGUUUUCAUUAAUCAAGAACGAAAGUUAGGGGAUCAAAGACGAUCAGAUACCGUCCUAGUCUUAACUAUAAACUAUUCCGACUCAAUGUUUGACUGGCUUAUAUAACCAGUUGAGCGUUGUAUGAGAAAUCAAAGUCUUUAGGUUCUGGGGGGAGUAUGGUUGCAAAGCUGAAACUUAAAGGAAUUGACGGAAGAGCACAACCAGGAGUGGAUUCUGCGGCUUAAUUUGACUCAACACGGGGAAACUUACCAGGUUAAAACAAUAGUGGGAUUGACAGUUUGAGAGCGCUUUCUUGAUUGGUUGGGUGGUGGUGCAUGGCCGUUCUUAGUUGGUGGAGUGAUUUGUCUGCUUAAUUGCGUUAACGAACGAGACCUUAACCUGCUUACUAGACUGGCGAUCAUCAAUCGUUAGCUCUUCUUAGAGGGACUUUGGUUGUUUUAACUCCAAGGAAGUUUGAGGCAAUAACAGGUCUGUGAUGCCCUUAGAUAUCCUGGGCCGCACGCGUCAUACAAUGACUAGUUCAGAAAGUUUUCUCCUGACCCGAAAGGGGAUGGGUAAUCUUGAUAAUACUAGUCGUGUUAGGGAUCGAUCUUUGCAAUUAUAGAUCUUGAACGAGGAAUUCCUAGUAAGUGCGGUUCAUCAGACCGUACUGAUUACGUCCCUGCUCUUUGUACACACCGCCCGUCGCUUCUACCGAGUGGGUGGUCCGGUGAGAUAAUUGAACUUCGCAGGUAACUGAGAGGAAAGAUUAUCAAACCUAUCCACCUCGAGGAAGAAGAAGUCGUAACAAGGUU